UACGAAGGGGGCUAGCGUUGCUCGGAAUCACUGGGGCGUAAAGGGUGCGUAGGCGGGUCUUUUAAGUCAGGGGUGAAAUCCUGGAGCUCAACUCCAGAACUGCCUUUGAUACUGAAGAUCUUGAGUUCGGGAGAGGUGAGUGGAACUGCGAGUGUAGAGGUGAAAUUCGUAGAUAUUCGCAAGAACACCCGUGGCGAAGGCGGCUCUCUGGGACGGUACUGACGCUGAGACGCGAAAGCGUGGGGAGCGAACAGG
Molecule: ribosomal RNA, 255 nt
Filed under: uncultured bacterium
Lineage: Bacteria
Description: partial 16S ribosomal RNA
Rfam family: Bacterial small subunit ribosomal RNA
Source: RNAcentral